GUUUCAGCCGCCGCGGUAAGACGGAGGGGGCAAGCGUUGUCCGGACUCACUGGGCGUAAAGCGUCUGACGGCGGUUCGUUGCGUCGGUGCUGAAAGCGCCCCGCUUAACGGGGCGAGGCGUGCCGAUACGAGCGAACUCGAGGCAGGGAGAGGCUGGCGGAAUUCCGGGUGUAGUGGUGAAAUGCGUAGAGAUCCGGAGGAACGCCGGUGACGAAGGUGGCCAGCUGGCCCUGACCUGACGCUCAAGGACGAUAGCGUGGGGAGCGAACCGGAUUAGAUACCCUGGUAGUCC
This 292-nucleotide ribosomal RNA is filed under the name uncultured bacterium. RNAcentral's name for it is "partial 16S ribosomal RNA". It matches the Rfam family "Bacterial small subunit ribosomal RNA", at positions 505 to 796 of the family's 1533-position model. The record is from RNAcentral.